RNAcentral lists this ribosomal RNA (509 nucleotides) under Maudiozyma barnettii. Its description in RNAcentral is "SSU rRNA". It matches the Rfam family "Eukaryotic small subunit ribosomal RNA", at positions 1143 to 1675 of the family's 1831-position model. The record is from RNAcentral. Lineage: Eukaryota; Fungi; Ascomycota; Saccharomycetes; Saccharomycetales; Saccharomycetaceae.
CUCAAAGGAAUUGACGGGAGCGCACCACCAGGAGUGGAGCCUGCGGCUUAAUUUGACUCAACACGGGGAAACUCACCAGGUCCAGACACAAUAAGGAUUGACAGAUUGAGAGCUCUUUCUUGAUUUUGUGGGUGGUGGUGCAUGGCCGUUCUUAGUUGGUGGAGUGAUUUGUCUGCUUAAUUGCGAUAACGAACGAGACCUUAACCUACUAAAUAGUGGUGCUAGCAUUUGCUGGUUGUCCGCUUCUUAGAGGGACUAUCGGUUUCAAGCCGAUGGAAGUUUGAGGCAAUAACAGGUCUGUGAUGCCCUUAGACGUUCUGGGCCGCACGCGCGCUACACUGACGGAGCCAGCGAGUCUAACCUUGGCCGAGAGGUCUUGGUAAUCUUGUGAAACUCCGUCGUGCUGGGGAUAGAGCAUUGUAAUUAUUGCUCUUCAACGAGGAAUUCCUAGUAAGCGCAAGUCAUCAGCUUGCGUUGAUUACGUCCCUGCCCUUUGCACACACCGCCGG